GUUGGGCCUUCCUUUCUGGGGCCUGGCCCGGUGCCCCGGUGAAGAGAUUUGCCUAGAACUUGCCUAUUUUUGUUUUUGGUAACCGUAGAUUCGCCUCCUAUAAGCAGCCCAAUUCCCGGCUACAGCGCGAGGCACAGAUUGGCAGAUUCCCUUUUCGCCUUCCCCUGAGCCCGAUCGAGCAAGCCAAUGGAGAAGCAAGCCGACAAGGCCGCGGCGCCGGUCGACGACGGCAUCCACGAGGAGUCGCCGGCCUCCGCCCAGAACGGGAGGCCCGGAUCCGAGCCGGCGGCCGCACCCGAGGUGGAGGUGCAGCUCUUCCGGCGGGGCCGGGGGCCGGUGGCCGUGUUCCGGUCACCCCUGGGCGGGUACACGCAGGACCAGCUGGAGGUGGGGGACAUCCUGGAGAAGCACGGCCUCAAGUGCGUCUUCGCCUUCGACGCCGCCUCCCGCGCACGCGGCGUCGCCAUCCGAUUCAACCCCCGCAACGGCCGCUCCCUCCUCCCCUACGCCGCCGACUCCACCAUCUUCCUCGACGGCGAGCCCAAGGAUCCUUUGCUGAAGCCCAUCACCAAGGUGAUGCUCACUGUCUGCGCCAUGACAGUGGUAGCUGCGGUGAUACUGAAGGAGGCGAAGAUGCCCGAGUGGCUUAAGGGAACCAAGCUAGGCAACCUGAAAUUCCCACCGUGGGUGCUGGCUUGCAUGGUCAUUGUGUUCAUGAGGCUCCGGAAGAGAACCAGGGAUGUCAUGAAGAAGAUUGGCUGGUCCUCCUGAGAAGGUUACUAAUGGCAAGCACACUUUUGGCCCCUCCUUCCAGUUUGCCGUCAAUGUUGGAGAUGUACUGGGCAGUGACAUACUACAUGUAAAUGUUCAGAACAAAUGCAUCUUAUAGAUCACUUAUAUUUGACCUUAUGUUUAGCAUAUACACGACGCGGUUUGCCAGUGUGGCAUUUUUGCUUGUAGCAAGUGUGCAUGAAUAAAUGUAGCCGAACAAACUGGUGUGCACUCUGUUUCUGUGAAGAUUUUGUUCACUGACCCUUGAUGGUGCUUUAACGAGAAAUUUAACUGC
This 1066-nucleotide ribosomal RNA is filed under the name Triticum aestivum (bread wheat). RNAcentral's name for it is "partial small subunit ribosomal RNA". The record is from RNAcentral. Lineage: Eukaryota; Viridiplantae; Streptophyta; Magnoliopsida; Poales; Poaceae.